GUGGUAAUGCCGGAUGUUCCAGUUGAUCGCAUGGUCUUCUGGGAAAGCUUUCGCGGUAUGGGAUGGGGUCGCGUCCUAUCAGCUUGACGGCGGGGUAACGGCCCACCGUGGCUUCGACGGGUAGCCGGCCUGAGAGGGCGACCGGCCACAUUGGGACUGAGAUACGGCCCAGACUCCUACGGGAGGCAGCAGUGGGGAAUAUUGCACAAUGGGCGCAAGCCUGAUGCAGCGACGCCGCGUGAGGGAUGGAGGCCUUCGGGUUGUAAACCUCUUUUAUCGGGGAGCAAGCGUGAGUGAGUUUACCCGUUGAAUAAGCACCGGCUAACUACGUGCCAGCAGCCGCGGUAAUACGUAGGGUGCAAGCGUUAUCCGGAAUUAUUGGGCGUAAAGGGCUCGUAGGCGGUUCGUCGCGUCCGGUGUGAAAGUCCAUCGCUUAACGGUGGAUCCGCGCCGGGUACGGGCGGGCUUGAGUGCGGUAGGGGAGACUGGAAUUCCCGGUGUAACGGUGGAAUGUGUAGAUAUCGGAAAA
This 529-nucleotide ribosomal RNA is filed under the name Bifidobacterium longum subsp. infantis. RNAcentral's name for it is "bacterial SSU rRNA". It matches the Rfam family "Bacterial small subunit ribosomal RNA", at positions 160 to 704 of the family's 1533-position model. The record is from RNAcentral. Lineage: Bacteria; Bacillati; Actinomycetota; Actinomycetes; Bifidobacteriales; Bifidobacteriaceae.